RNA transcript from Mus musculus (house mouse), 10648 nucleotides. It is a transcript of the gene named predicted gene, 19665, with no coding region annotated. The record is from RefSeq and is a predicted model, not a curated record. The transcript has a single exon. NCBI's taxonomy places the organism in Eukaryota, Metazoa, Chordata, Mammalia, Rodentia, Muridae.
GGCUAGAGACUGGCCUGGGCUGCAACAUUUUUCUGAUACUUUAAUGUGUGUCCUUGUUGCUACAUUCUAUAUUGCCACCAAUAUGGCAACUUGAACAUGUCCUUGGUAGGUUGUGCUUGUGUAGGUCCGGAAGGCUGUGUGCUUAGGAGAUCAGCAGACAUAGGUGAAGGUCUUCGCUGGCUUGGGUUCUUGCUGAAGAUUGUUUGGUGCGGAGGUAUGGACUUCAUGGUUGAAGGUUCUGAUUCCCUUGCCGAUCGUGAACCUGAUCCAAGGCUGUACCCAUCUUUAGAGUCUCCUAUCAUCUCUUGCCCCAUGACCAGCUAGCUCAUCACAAAGAAGCCAGUGACAGUGUAUCCGAUCUUUCUUGCACUUCUGAUCUCUGACAUCUUCCAUCUCUGAUCUCCAAAUGCCAGUUAAAAGGGUUCACGUGAUGCUGAGGGCCCCUUCAGAUAAGCUCCUAUCUCACGGCCUGCUGAUCAUGGCCUUGUUUACAGCCUCUGAUUCCCUCAGCAUCAACACCGCUAUAGUGACUGAUGAACUUCCUGGGAAGGGGUGGCAAUCUGUCCUGGAGGUCUGAAUGUGCACCUAGGCUCAUCUUAGAAUUCUGCCUACCCUGUUACAUGGUGACUUGAACAAAGGUAAAGACAGAAACAAGAGCUAGCCUGAACUAGUUAUGUUUCCAUAGUAAAUAUGUAAAUGCUUUGAUAAUUUUAGGAAGUGUUUCGGUUUCCGCCAUCAAGAUGUGUUUUGCACUUACUAGACCGUUUAAUAAUAUGCAUAUUUGUGACCUGUGUAUGUCUGUGUGUUCUAAGAGAACAAGACGUUGUAUUAGUUGACUGGAGAGUGGUAUAUCACUAACUGUUCAGUAAGUGUCUCUUUUCUUUGUUAUCUCUGUUCCAGCUCCCGGGACCUUCCCUCUGCUUCUUUUCUUGUCUGGUUCCUUCUCUGCUCUAUCUUAACUAUCACCUGCUCAUAGAUGAGUUCCCAGAUGACUUAAUGCCAUUAGGGUAAAAUCCAGGCAGUGGUUCAAGUUGUUCUUGGAUUGUGGUUCUCUUAUCUUUCUUAGUAGCAGGUCUCUGCCUGCAUCUUAGCUCUCACUCCAGCUGGACUGUGUGGGGUGUCAGGAAAGGGAGGUUCAGCUCUGUCCCUUCUCAUCGCAAAGGCCCAUGCUCCGCUCGCAGUAGACACGAAGCCUUCUGUGAUUGAUGACGUGUGAAUUCAGAGGGCUCCAGUGCCGGAGAAUGGUUAAUGUUACCGUGUGCUGCUAGAAUCUGAAGCUAAGGCACUCAGGAGGUCAUUGCUAAAGCAGUUGCUGUUUGACAAGAACCUGGUUGACAAUCAUAAAACACUCAGAGAUGGAGACUCUGCAGAUGGACGUUGAGGGGAGCAGUGUCUACAUUGUACUACAGAACUUGGGGUGCCCCCAGGAAGGAGGCAGGUGGUGAGCCUAAGUAUCUUGGGUUGGCCCAUGGUUCAUAGCACUAAUUCUACUUUUUUUUUUCCUUCAAGAAAGGGUAUUAUUCUCUAGCCCAGGCUAUCCUUCAACUCACCAAGUUGGCCUUGAACUUGCUGUCCUCCCACCUGGGCCUUUCAAGUGCUAGGAUGACAGGUACUUUUUAUUCAGAGUUUUCAGUGCCCUACCUCAGACACCCUGUCUCCUUCCAUUCAUGGUUUGUUUCUUGAGGAAGCCAUAGCAAAGACCCACAGAAAAGCUGUGGAGAGCUCUGGAGCCCACCAUCUUAGUACCCUUAGCUGAACCUGAACACAGUACCACCCUCUGGGAAGUAAGCAUUCAAACCCAUGAGCCCAGCCAGACCCUGAUUUCCUCUGAAAACUGGAGAGAUGAUUCCCACCGUGCAGGCUAGGAGGAUAGUGAACACAAAUUCUUGAUGCAUUCUUGAGCCUAAAAGAUACUCUUAACAUGAUGAUUAAACUGAACUCUCUUAAGAAUGGCUCUGCACAUCUGGAAUGGGGUGCAGAUAUUCAUUUUAACAGCAGAUCGUUUUAAAGUCUGCAGUAGAUGAUAAGAUUGCUAGAAACACUCUGCUCUAGCUCCUAGCACCUUCCUUCCGCUGCGUUUUGAUGCUCUGUUUAAUUGAUUUUUCCCUCCUUAUAAGUUAAAUAGGGACUGCCUAUGUUCACAUCUUUUGUAGAUAAGCACAUUUCACAAUGACACAACGUGGAGCAAAGCUUAUCUGACUUUCUUUAUGAUUCAGAAGGCACUUUGGAACCUGUAAGGCCUCUGGGUUUUUACUAGGAACUCCAGUUAGCAUUUUAUUGUAGCUGUUCAGCAGCAUUGGUUUUUAGCCAGCUUGGAAAGCAACCUCUCUACCUCUCUUCCUUUUCCCAUUCAGUAUAACACGUGCUCUAAAAAUAGUCAGGUUCAGUAAUUCCAGACCAGCUCGCUUCUGCCAGACCCCAACACACUUGGUCAACAUCACUGGGUUGUAGACCUGCAUGCCCUGGCCAGUGAUGGAGAGGACUUGAACUAGCAGAUGUAGCAGCACCAUGAUGCUGAAGACCAGUCCUCAGGGAUUGCCAUUGCUUUUAAAGGAUUAGAAUUUGUUCCAGUGUGGUCAGGCCGGGAGCUGGCUGAGACCACCAUUCUUCCAUAGAAGAAUGGUGGAAUUGACCACCGAGGUUACCUUCUCCCAUUUUUUUUUUUAAUUCCAACACUCUGGGCCAGUGGUUCUCAACCUUCCUAAUGCUGAGACCCCUUAAUACAGUUCUUCAUGUGGUGGUGACCUCCAGCUGUUAUAUUACUUUCCAUGCUACUUUAUGACUUCAAUUUUGCUGCUGUACAUAUCUGACAUGUGGGAUAUCUGAUGUGUCACCUCUGGAAAGGGUUGUUUGACCAGUCACAACUCACCAGUUGAAAAACCACUGCUUUAAAGGGACACAAUCAGUGCAUUCAUUCUCACGACAGGUUGGACAUUCUUAGCAAAUCUGAUGUGGCAAGAAUGGAGGGAACUUUGGGUGUAAAUAUCUGUUGUGGGUGUCAUUCCCACACAGGGCACUAUGUUACUACUGUUGCCUUUCUUCUGCUGGCCUUUUACUUCUCAGAGUGUGAUUUAGAGAAACCUGCAGUGCCGGUUGUUACCGUAGCCUAGAGUGAGAGCCCAGUCUGGGAUGAAUCCUGUCCAUGCGCCUUCCAUACCACAGGACCUAUGAGACUGAUGUUCCCCCAGUCAUCUGAAGGAUGGGGACCAUCUACAUGGUCUGCUACAGAGCACUCCAUACACCCAGUUUCUCCUCUAAACUGGAGCUGGCUACUGCUCAGCUCGAAAGGAAAUGUCUGGUGCAUGGGAAAUAAAUUUAAACCAUGAGCAAAUGCUUGCAUUCUUAUUUUUAUUUGAACCAAAAUUAAUAUUCAAAGUUGGAAUGCCGUUUUCAGAGAUGCUGGCAUUAUUUGGUUAGAUUUUGAGGUGAAGUAUAUGAAAGUGAUUAUAGAUAAUAAAUACCUUUUUUAAGAAAUACUUAUUGCAGAGGCAGUUUUUCCACUGUUAAUGAGGGCAAUUUGACUUGGUUGAGGGAUUGCAGUUCUUAAGAAUUAAUGCAGUAAUCCAAUUCAAAGAUUUAAAGAGAUCUCAGAUUUUUCACAGGUCGCGUGCUAGCGAAUGUGCUGCUAUCCGAUAGCAGCUAAUGGGCUUGAACGCCAGCCUGUCAUUUACUGUUUCUCUCCGCGCAGCAGCUUUGCCCUUGGUAGGGAGUGUACUUUCUCCAGGCAGGUUAUUUAGAAGUGUGGUGUAUUUGUAACACUUUGGAGAGAGUAUUCUAUUACCCAAAGCCUCUAAUGACUAUGAAAACUGGGGGUUAUCUUUCUUAAUUACAUGUUUGAAACCAAAUUGCUGAAGGUCUGAUGAAUACUGGGCUCAGAGGAGCUGCCUCCUUGCCUUCAUUUUCCUAUGAGGUCCUUUUAUUUUAUUAUUUAUUUGAUAUAUUUUUUAAAAAAACUAAUUCAUGUAUCAUUGUAUUCACGCGUGUGGGUUAAUUUUCACGAAUGCAAAGGUUGCAGGCGUUAUGGGCCUAGCUUUGCAUUUUUGAUAACAGUGUAUUUAUUAACAGCUAACUGAGUUCUGUGAAGGCUUAUUUGUAAAGGAUGGUGCAAAAUGCCCCUAGUUCCUGAUCCUAUUAUGUUCUGAAAUCUCAAGAAUUCCAUUUGAAGGCAAUUAGAAGCAUUCAAGUCUCCCCAAGUGUGUUGUUCCCUGCUGUUCUGCGAGCACAAGGACCUUUGUUCUUUAAUUAGAGAGAGGACUAGAGCUCAUUAAUUGUUGUUUCAUGCAGUAUUGGCUCCAACAAGAGGCAACAAUGCAUUGCAAGGUAAAGUCCACCUGUACCAGGGUGGCUCUCCGAGUUCACCAGGCUGUGAAAAGAUAAAUGGGGUCUCUGACAGGCUCUGCCUCUGACCUGAACUUUUCUCAAGUACCUAGCUGGCUGUUUAUCAAUCUUGAGAACAAAAUGUCUUUUAGAUGCCAGGAGGCAUCCCAGCUUCUGUAGAAAUCUAGAACUUGACUUUUGUUGAAAGCCUAUCUUCUUCCAGAAAGCAAGCCAGCUAGGAUCUCUUUGCAGCUCCUUAGUACGUCUGUGAACACUGCCUAGAAGCCUUAGAGCCCACUGAGUAUGGGUGCAUUGUUAAGAAACUUCACAGAAACAGUUACUGCAAUGAUUUGUAGACCAAUUUUUACUGCUACCAUAGCCAGAGGGUGUACAAACGAAAUCAGAAGGCCUAUGCUGCAGCAGUUACAACAGAGGCUUCCAGUUCCCACAGAAGCAGGCGUGUCUUCUGUAUCCAGGAAACCCCCACCUCUAGACUGAUCCCCAGUGCACAUGACUGAUGAAUAUCAAGGUUGCAGGGAAGAAGAAAGAUGAGCAACUUUAUCUCCGCAAAAACAUCUCAAGACAUCAUUGAAUGGAUAAGGUUUUUCUGGGACUGGGCUAGGAUGGACUGUUGGGGAUGUCUUGAAAUAAAAGGCUAUGGAGAAUCGGAUAUGGGGGCAUGAAAUUGGGCAGGGGAGCGGUGAGUUUCAUGUUCCUUUUCAUUCUCCCUGAGAAGGGGUCAUGUGUCUGUCAGGUGGCUAACUCCAGAAGGACUCGGGAUCCUGGGCUUUGGUGAGGUCUCCUCUAUCAAGCCCCUUAACAAUUCUCCUAUCAGUGUUUGCUCUCUCCUUCCAUCUUUGCUGAAGCAUGAAUUACUUGUGGAGCCAUAAAGCUCAUGGAAGACAUUGUUAACAAGAGGGCUUUGCUUCAUAAAAGAAACAGGGACCAGGGAACUGGAGGCCUGGCAUCCCAGAAAAGGUGAAUAUCGAAACCAAAAUCUCUCCCCCAGAUUCCCUACCUGUUAAGGAGGCACAUCUAACUUGCUAUGUAUGGGGUUUUUUGUUUUUUUUUUUUUUCCACCAGCAAUUUUUUUUAAUGUUGUAUUUCUGGGGGAAAGAAAAAUAGAUUUUAAAAUGUAAAAACCUGUUCUUCAAUUGAGUAUGCAAAAAUCUCAUUGCAGUAUUUAUUCCAAACCUGCUCUCAUAAUGUUCAGUCAAGGAGAAAACAGCGAAAAACAGUUGUUGAUGGACUUAGCUCAGAACUGGAUUAAAUAAGCAUUAGUCUACUGGAGCUGAUUACAGGAAUAUGAAAAUGUGGUAUCUUAAUGGUACAUAUUUUUAUGUGGCAGCUCAGUUGCCUUUCAUUUUGCAGCUAAUAUGUCUAUUCUUAUGAGUCAUUUACUUCCUUAAUUACCUUUUGCAGGCAAGGCACCAUGGUAUAUUAAUGUGAAUGAUUUUUACUGCCAGUUUAUCAUACAAUGCCCCAGAAGUUGAAAGGCGUAAUUGACUUGGAAGAACAGCUCGUGAAGGAAACAAUAUUUAGUUGACAGUUUUCCUUGUACUCUCUGUUGACGUUUAUGAGUUUACACUAUGCUAAAGGAGUCAUAAACACAAUUUUCUUUCAAUAACAGCAAAGGGUAGCUUCUAAAAUACAUUUGUGGAAAACACAUUUGUUCAUUUCUUGAAUAAUGGGAAAAUAACACAUUUCCAGUGAUAAGACCUCUCCGAUUGCCAAUUGAAUUAAACCUUUGAAGGUAUAUUUAUAACCUGUCUCCCAGCAUUAGAAGAGACUAGGAUUCGGUGGGGGAUUGAAUCGGCUUAAUGAAUAUUUAAAUUAUACACAGAUUUGGGUAAGUCAUAUUUAAAUCUAGGUGUUUGGGGUGAGACUGAGCAGCCCUGCCAGCUUCCUGAAUAAAGGGGAGGCGGGAAGAGAGCUUGGGAAUUGGGAAUUGUCUGGAAGAUUCUUCUCUCUGAAGGGAAAGAAAGUCUGUCACUACAUUUUGGGAAAAUACAAGAAGGCACAAUGGGGGCAACUCCUUAUAAGGUCUGGACUUUGAACAGUUAAAAUAAGCCUCCGGUAGCUUUCCCUAGCUCUGCAGCCUGCAAGGAUGGCUUCUCCUGAACUCCUCUUGGCAGGUUCCGCCUUCAGCCUGCUUCUGCAGCCCCCCCCCCCCCCCCCCACACACACACACACACACACACCGGGGCCUGUGCAGACUCUAGUUUUGGCACAUCGGUUCAGAGGGAGUUAAACUUUGUCAGGGUUUUCUGGAUUGUUUGCAGUUCAGUCCUGUGCAACAUAAUGAAAGUUUUCUAGCCAUCUGUUGUUGAGCUGGCGGUGAGCAAGGCCAGUAUAUCCAAACAAAGUCCUGGCCGCUGUAAACUGAACCUGUCAGCUUAGCAUAGCUCUGCUGACCCUUCCAGCUCACAGGGCAGCCCUUGGUACCAGGCACUCACUGCUGAGAGCUUUCAAAGGGGAACUAUUUUGGGGGUAGGCAGCGGGGCCUGUUUACUUUCCCCUCUGUGUACCUCUCGCUGGCUCGGACUAGUUUAUACUUAGUGUUUAAAUGGACACUUCUCCUCCCUCCGUUUUCAGAGGAAGGACUGACUUCUUGCCAAGGGAUUUCACUUUUAGGAAAGGGUGUAAAUGUUGAUAAAUACGUGUGAGGCGGUGAUGCUUCAAAGGGAUAUUUUAUGCAAGUAUUUUGGUUUCAUUAGUUUGUCUCCAAUGUUUGAGGAACAAAUCACCCAGGCAAAGAAACUCCUGCAUUUAUCACACAGCUUAUAGCAUUUAAAACUGUUUAUGGCUUUGAAAGGACUUCUUACUCCUUUUUUUGUUUUUGUUUUUGUUUUUUUGUUGUUGUUGUUGUUGUUGUUGUUUUGUUUCCUUCUGAAAUUUGUAUUUCAUCGUCCUGAGUUAAUGCCCAACAUUACUUGGCUAAGCAGAACGUACACAAUGCUCCCUGCUCUAUGGAAGAACAACCUCCUUGUUUGUACUCAUUUAUUUACAGUGUAUAUCUUUUGCCUCAAAUUACGUAGCUUAACCUUAAAACCUUUGUGUAAUUUUCUGGCACCUUUUCCCUUCUGCAGCAGUGAACUAUUCUUGACUGUAUAUGAACUAUCCUUAUACCCAUGGAUCCCGUUUGUAAGCAUGUAUAUGUAUAUUUGGACAUGGAUACCUGUAUAUGUACACACGGCAAUGACUUACAUAGCUAUGUGUAUAUCUAUUGCAUGUAUAAAGACUAUUCAGUCAUCUUUAUAAACCGGUUCCUACUUGACCUUUGUGGCUUAGUGACUAUGACAUACACUUACUUCCUGUCAUGCACUGAUUCUUUUUGUGACUUCCAUUAGAAGUCAGCCAUGGGGAGCUGUCACCAAACCUCGGUGUCCAUUUCAAGCCAUUAAAACAUCCAGGGAAUGUGGCCACCACUGUUGAAUGGCCACUCCGAAGGACUUCUUAGUUCCUAUUAACGAGAAGCAGAUCCCAAGGUCACAUGGCAAAAGGAGAGGCAGCAAAGAGAUGCACACUCAUACAAAGCACCUGUGUAAAGGGGCCGAGACUCUACAGUCAAAGAAUGUGCAAGAGACCGGAAGUCAUAAGUGGGGGUGAGGCACACUUAAGCCCUCCCUUCUAAGACAGUGGAGUGUUACACUAGUGAACAAAUAUGCAAUUUAAAAUUUAAAAUGAAUGUGCUUAUUUAAAAAUACCAUGGAAUUCUUAUCUGUUUAGAAGGUAACUGACAUGUAAAGUGCUCUUUCUGUUUUUAUUUUCCUAAGUGUAGUGUUUUGGGUGGAAAUGUCAGGAAUUGGAUAGUAACCUUGGUGUUUAGGAUACUGCCUUUUGGAACAUGACGUUGUAUUUGGUUGUGUGUCCUUAUUAUUAUUUUUUUAGAGGAGGCCUGCUUUAAGAGGUCAUCUAUUAGCUGUGUUCUUGCUGUCUUAAACUCAGCCCUUCUGUCUAUUAAAAUCAAACCACUAUGUAAACAUUCCAGUGUUGUUCUUAGUCUCCACAAUGGCCACGGGGAUCGGGUUUCACCUGCCUGCACAUCUUCAAGCAAUUAAAGCAAUUAGUGAAGCCAUUUCACAUUCAAAGACUCAAGGUCUAUGGUGACAUUCAAGUCCAGCAGAAGUCUGAAAGGGGGAAAGGACAGGCCUGAAGCGUGGCUACCAUUCCAUGGCCCUGAGCAGACAAUCUCUCUGCUAAAAAUGGUAGCUCUUUAAUGGUGUUAUUAUGAGGUUUUUAAAUGACAUCUCAAAAGUUGUUUACAUCAAAAAAGCCCAACAGUCAUUUAAUUAUACUAAUGAAGGCCUUCUUACUUGGCAGAUUUUUUUUUAAAGACCUUUAAUAUCCAAAGAAAUGGAAUGUUACUUCUUGCAUCAAAGUGGAGGCAAUUGCAUUCUUUGUGAAGGAAAAAUGUAUUUUCUAAUCUAUAAGGGAAAUGCAUUUCACUUUUAUGGCAAACGUCCCUUGUUUGGGGGUAAAUUACAAUCAUGUGGAAUAUCAAAGUCUUAAAGUUUGGGGAGAAAAUGUUGGAAGCAGCUUCUUCGUCCUUUUGUUGUUGGUGUCAGGGAAUAGCAGAGGAAACUGGCUUGUCCGAGCUAGUGCAAUUUAAAGCAAAGGUUCAGCCCUGAAUAUAUGACAUUCCAUGGAAUGGGGCAGAGGUGACCUGAGAAAAACAGCUUAGACUCUGGAAUGGAAUGUGCUGUUUGUUUUUUUGUUUGCUUGUUGUCUUGGGAAUGUAAGCGAAAUCGUUUUAGUGUAACCUGGAAACUAUGUCCACAACAUGUCAUGCUGCUUUGAAUGAAGAAUUUGUUUUGACAAAAUAAAUAUAAACAUGUUUUGACUUAAAGGGGAUUCUUGUUGUAAAAGUAGGAAAAUAUUUACAAACAGUGUGAAUGUAUAACGUGUUUUGACUGUGAGCAAAACAGAAAAAUAUUUAUGUUAAAAAAUGUGCAAAAUAUUUACCCCAAAGUCAAACACAUGGCAAGCCUGAUAUACCAUGUGUUGACACACCCAAAGAGUUUAAAAACUGAACCUGGACAGUGGCCCCUAGGAUUGUACUGCCAUGCUCCCAAGACAUGCCAUCUAGAACUCUGGGCCUAUCCUGUUGCAAAGGGACUUUGAGACUGACCCCUGUGUGUUAGGGUUAGGGGCUAGGGGUUAGGGUCAGGUUGGGCGCCAUUGCUGAAUUCACACAUGCCUACCAGUGCUAGCCACUGGCCAAUGUUCUCAAGUGCUUUCUGGAAUUUCCAACAGUGUCAUCCUCCUGGCUAUAGUUCAAGGAACCUCUUGGAUCACCCUCACCAUACAGGAUUCCCUAGCAAAAGCCUGAAGCAUUUCCUCCUCAAGGGUCUCUAUCCAGCUCUUUGAGAUGAUAAGACUACCGUAAUCUUUAUAAUAGCACAGUUUCAUAGGGAAUGUUUUUAUGAGUACAGUUAUCACAGUUUGAAAGGCAGAUCUUAUGUGGCUAUUCUAACUGCUGAGGGAGGGCCUCACAGUCUACCAGCCUUGCUCCUCAUAGUUUGUCUUCACAGUUCUAUCUCGGUUAUCCAGGAAUCCUGUUGGUACAAGGCAAACUGUAAACUCAUUACAGCUUGGAAAAUUGUGUUGUGCAUUUUUAAACACAUAUUUUAUUGUUGCUUACUAUGGACAGCAGGGAGAGGGAGGCAGCAAUAAUAAAAAAUCCUAGCAUCUUAUGAAAAAGUGAAUCUCACUUCUUCAGUCCCAGAAGAAACAAUUCCAAAAGAAGCGCAGGGUAAAUUGUGUAGAAUUCUGUUGUCCUUUAAUCGGGCUGGUUCUGCCAUUUCCCCUUCAGUGUUUAUUAAUAAACAACUCAAGCACAGAACUGUUCAAAGAUGUCCUUUUCUGUUGUUAUAGGCAUUGACUUUAAAACGAAAUAUCAUUUUAAGAAAAAUGUACGCCUUUAAGAAAAAGUCCUUUAAAAUUUUUUAUGCCCAUGAAGUAGUCCUUGCAAUAAUCUCUUUAAGAAACUGGCUGAGAUGGCAUCACAGCUCCUAGGGGUGAAACAGUGACACAUCUCUGGGACUGAAGGAAUCUGACCAUGUGCAUGACUGUAGGUGGGGCUCUUGCAGUCAGUUCCUUGCCUCGGCAUCUUAGAGUGAUAGUCCCAUCCCAAGUUGGCUUAUACAGGAGCCUUCUGAAUGCCCACCUCCCCUGGGCCAGCCUGGGUGCUCUCCUCUGCUACUUCUGGGAACAGAAAGAGCCUGGCAGUGCGGUAUAGCAUGGGGAAGCCUGGGCAUGUGCCUUCCUUUCUCCCCUGCCCCUUGAAGCACAUUGUUAGCAAAUCCUUUGUAACCUCUGCAAAUGGACC